AAUUUGCGUGAGGGAUUGAAGUGAAAAUCCUUUUACUUUUCUUCAAAAAAGUAAAAGAUUGUAACGUAAAGCCCGACCCUUG
RNAcentral lists this small RNA (82 nucleotides) under Flavobacterium sp. 123. Its description in RNAcentral is "Flavo-1 RNA". It matches the Rfam family "Flavo-1 RNA". The record is from Rfam by way of RNAcentral. Lineage: Bacteria; Pseudomonadati; Bacteroidota; Flavobacteriia; Flavobacteriales; Flavobacteriaceae.